RNAcentral lists this ribosomal RNA (439 nucleotides) under Atractides sp. P30. Its description in RNAcentral is "partial large subunit ribosomal RNA". The stretch from base 282 to 439 matches the Rfam family "Bacterial large subunit ribosomal RNA", at positions 2473 to 2630 of the family's 2925-position model. The record is from RNAcentral. Lineage: Eukaryota; Metazoa; Arthropoda; Arachnida; Trombidiformes; Hygrobatidae.
AAGGUAGCAAAAUCAUUAGACUUUUUAUUGAAGUCGAGCAUGAAAGGAGGAAUAAAAGAGUUUUUUUAUAGGGCUUUAUUUUGAAUUUGUUUUCUUUUUGAAAACUUUUAAGUGAGUUAAGUAAGACAAAAAGACCCAUAGAUUUUUAAAUGACAGUUUAAAUUGGUUGUUUUUUAAAUAGAAUGUUUUAAGUUUCUUUUUUGCUUGGGGCAAGAUUUUAUUUUAACAUAAUUAUAUUUUUUUUGUAAAUUUAAAUUUUAAAUUAGAAAAAAUACCUAAGGGAUAACAGCGUAAAAUUUUUUUCUUAGUGCUUAUAUAUAAAAUGUUUUGCGACCUCGAUGUUGGUUUGUUAAUUCUUUUUGAUGCAGAAGGUAAAAAAGAUAGUCUGUUCGACUAUUAAACUAACACAUGAACUGAGUUCAAGUCGGUGAGAGCCAGA